ACACCAAAACCAAAUUCAGCGUUAAAACUCCACAAGUUGACCAAAUGUAGCUUAACAUUUCCAUGCACUGCAGUCCAAGGCCACCAAUAAUCAAUGUAAAAACUUCGGAGACGAGAUGCGCGCUUUUGAAGUUUCAGUGACGAUGUGUCAGAGGUCCCAGACCGUUAUUCCGCAUAGGAUUUUAUUUUAAAAAUUCUCGUCGUAGAAAGAUUUGUCUCGUUUGAACGCGUCCAAUUUAAACUGUGUGUGAAUAAUGCAAGCAUUUUUUAAAGCCAUUUCAAAUUCUGUUUUUCUGCUGUUGUCUCUACCAAUGUUGCGGAGCAAGAAAAUGCUGAAAAGUCGAUGGAUGUUAUGGCCGAAAGCAGCUGUUAUCUACAGGUUCGACGCUACAGUUGGAUGCCCUGAGUCCUAUAAGUGUUCCAUUAUAAUGAAAGCCAUGGACCACAUCAUGGAGAAAACUUGCGUCCGAUUUAAAGAAUGGAGCGGAGAAAGAGACUUCGUGCGUAUCGAGGAAACUACGGCUGCGAGGUUAGUUAUGUUUUUUGGUCAUUCGGCGUCAUUUUUAACGCGUACUGCGACCGCGAAGCAACGCACACGAUGCGCUUUUUGUUAUGCUGUUGAACGUGUGUAACAGCGGCAUCCGCCGGUUUCCCACGUGAUAACAUUCAAACGCAUUUUCUCAAAAAAUCCUGUGAAUUUGGAGGGAUCCAUCUCUCAUCAGGACAAUUUCCAAUUGAAGUAGCAUACAGGAAGGGGUGGGGCAGAAGUAACUAUGAGAAGAUCAAGCACAAAAACAUAUCGACGAUGUAAGUCGGCAAUCACAUAACUCGUUUGCGGUGUCUAAAAAUCUCCGCCUCUAUGUUAUUUUUUAAAGGAGAACAAAUUGACAUCAUUCCGUGAAGUUUUUGCAGAAUUUUCUUCACACAGAGAAGAAAAAUCACCGCACUUUUAAAGAAUUGCCGUUAAGUAGUUUUCCGUUUAAAAAAUAAAGUAUAACAGGAAGUCUGCGACGUCGAAAACCGAGUUAUGUGAUUGCCGACUUACACCGUCGAUAUAUGCUUUUGUGUCCAUAUAGCGCGAAUAUACGAAUAAAUAAGCAGGGUAUUAAAACCUGGAUAAACAAGGCUGAAACAUUAAAAACAACAAGAGGCAGGACGUACCUGAGAAGUAACCAUCAAUUUGUUGGGUGCAAAAAGGGUAUUUCUUGGUUGCGGUGUCUCAAAAUCGUCACUGCUAACUUAUGAUUUAUAGAGGAAAUUGUGCAAUGAAUUUGGUUUCUGAAGUUUUUCGUUUUCAGCAUUGUAAAAUCAUGAAAAAAGUUCUAUAAAUGUUUCAACGAAUUUCAUGAAAUUUGCUUCAAUUAUAAUGGAUGAACCGUCAGCGGAGAUUCUGAGACACCGCAACCAAGAAAUGCCUUUUUUGCAUCCGGCGCCUCACUUUGUCUGUGUGUCUGCUCUAAACUGCAGUUUUCAACGCACCCAUUUUCGACUCGGCCAAUGUGCUAAUUGCUGUGAUUUCUUAAUCACUUUCCUUCAGAAACAACUCUUACAUUUGCUCUAGCUGAUGUGUUUUUUUUGCAGCGGUACCAGCGGACUUCCUAUAUCCGACUCAAAUCUUGGAAAGAUUGGUGGCGAGCAAAAAAUUCGCAUCUACCCGAUGGCUUGGUAUAACGGUGGCCGAGGAACGGUCUUGCACGAGGGUGGAUUUCUGUAGAUUUUCAUUUUGCUGUCGCCGGAUGAUUUCGCGCCGGUAAUCUACGGAAUAUGUCUAACUUAUUUUUUUUACACUUUGGUAGGUCUUGGCAAUCUUAAAAAAUUGUUAAAUCUACUUUAAAUGCCGAAGCAUACUUUCGGGAAUUUUUUUCAUAGUGCAAAUGUCAACUCCGGCUAAUGUCGCCAGGCUAAAUUCGAACACAAGAACUGUUCUGCUGACUUUUUGGCGGAGUCCUGCACAAUUUUGAUGCUUUAUUUAAAUUGUUGAAUAGAUUGGGUCUACUGAAAAAUUGUUAGAAAACUAUUUAAAAGUCAGGGGAACGUGCACCAUACAUAGAAAGUUGUGUCGCUAGCUUUGGUGUCAACUCCGGCGGAGCUAUUUUCGCGCAUUCCGGAGCGAACAGCUGAUAGUGCGCGCGCAGGGUAAGCAUUGUGAUUGUGUUUUUUAAAGAGUUGGAGGUCCCGGGCUAUCUGAAACACUGCUUUGAUAAACAUAAGUAAACUUUUUCUGCAUCAAAAAUUUGGAUUUCUAAAAAUGGUAAUUUGAAACUGUCAACUCCAUUUACGUUAAAAUUUCAUACUGGGGAAGUGGCGCCAGUGAUAUAAUUCAGUAUAUCAUGUACCUGCACGACCGAACCUCAAAAAAAUCGGUUUUGUUUGUAUUCUGCAUCGUGGACACUUUCUUUCCCGCGAAAAACACUCAAAUGUCAACUCCGGCCGCAUCAACUCCGACCUUGUCAACUCCGGCCCAAUGACGUUUAACGUUGUUAAGCUGAACUUUAUUCGACAUUAGUGUAAUAUUUUUGUUCAAUUGUUUGUUCCAGUUCAUUAGAUUUCAGUCUUUAGUUAAAUAUUCGUUGUUUUUUCAAAUAACUUUGUUUUGUAAUUUCACCUAUGUCAACUCCGGCCCAAUGAUGUUUAACAUUGUAAAACAUAGCUCUUAUUUGACAUUCGUGUAAUAUUUUUGUUCAAUUGUUUGUCCCAGUUCAUUAGAUUUCAGUCUUUAGUAAAAUAUUCGUCAUUUUUUCAAAUAACUUUAUUUUGUAAUUUCAUCUAUGUCAACUCCGACCUUGUCGAUUCCGGCCCAAUGGCGUUUAACGUUGUAAAGCUGAGCUUUAUUUGACAUUCGUGUAAUAUUUUUGUUCAAUUGUUGUUCCAGUUCAUUAGAUUUCAGUCUUUACUUAAACAUUCGUUAUUUAUUCAAAUAAUUUUGUUUUGUAAUUUCAUCUAUCUCAACUCCGACCUUGUCGACUCCGGCCCAAUGACGUUUAACGUUGUAAAACUGAGCUUAAUUGACAUUCAUGUAAUAUUUUUGUUCAAUUGUUUGUUCCAGUUCAUUAGAUUUCAGUCUUUAGUUAAAUAUUCGUUAUUUUUUCAAAUAACUUCGUUUUGUAAUUUCAUCUAUGUCAACUCCGUACUAACCUGUCAACUCCGGCCAUCGGUGAAAAAACGACUGUAAAGACUAUUUUUUUAAAAAUCAAAUCGGUUUUAUGAGAAGAUUAUUUUUAAGUUAAGGGUUAGUUUUAUUUGGGGUUAGGUUUUUAAAUAGCUUUUCAGAUCUCAUUUG
RNAcentral lists this long non-coding RNA (3279 nucleotides) under Bemisia tabaci. RNAcentral's name for it is "lncRNA ENSSSA3NGG002408". The record is from RNAcentral. Lineage: Eukaryota; Metazoa; Arthropoda; Insecta; Hemiptera; Aleyrodidae.